GCUGGACUCUAAAAGAUGAGUUUCAACAAUUGAGGAAAUUAAUAAUUCUCCGAGGACUUUGCCACAAGGUUGGAUUGGAGUUGCUUCCGAAAGACUAUGAUAUGGAAAGCCCAAGCCCUUUCAAGAAAUCUGAUAUUAUCGGCAUUGUUCCUGUGUGUAAACAUGUAGGAUGCUCUUCUGCAGAUGGGCGAACCCUAUUGGAGUCAUCAAAGAUGGCACUCGAUAAACGAUAGCUAGAAGAUGCUGUCAACUAUGGAACAAAGGUACCAAAGCCAUCCUGUCUAUAGUAAGCUGUUUAAUUCUAUUCUUAACGGGUACAAAAAUCAAUCACAAUUUUUUGUAUUACUUGAUUCUGAAGGCAUUGGCAAAGAUGAUAGCUGUCUGUGGUCCCUAUCAUCGUAUGACUGCGAGUGCGUACAGUCUGUUAGCUGUUGUGCUUUACCACACUGGAGACUUUAAUCAGCUGCUGUCCAUAGCAUUUCAAUGCACCAUGUUGACCCAUUAAAGAUUGGUGUAAUCCAUAGACAUAUAUGCUUGAUUGGAGGGUUAGGUGAUUGCCCAAAGAGAGGUGGUUUUGUUGAUUAAGGUUUAGUUUCUUCUAUUUUUUUUUUUUUUGUUGAUUUUUACUUUCUAUUUUUCUCUUCCUUAGUAAUUAGCAAGAGAGAAGUGUAAUAUAAAGAGUCUGAGAACUAAGCUUAGUAAAGUGAAAUGAGUGCUGUAACUAACUAAUACUACUGAGACUUGAG
Molecule: non-coding RNA, 746 nt
Organism: Camellia sinensis
Lineage: Eukaryota; Viridiplantae; Streptophyta; Magnoliopsida; Ericales; Theaceae
Source: RefSeq, a predicted model, not a curated record